RNAcentral lists this non-coding RNA (104 nucleotides) under Rhodanobacter spathiphylli. RNAcentral's name for it is "Rhodanobacter sp. Fluoride sequence". It matches the Rfam family "Fluoride riboswitch aptamer (crcB RNA motif)". Lineage: Bacteria; Pseudomonadati; Pseudomonadota; Gammaproteobacteria; Lysobacterales; Rhodanobacteraceae. The record is from RNAcentral.
UGGGCAACGGGAGAUGGCAUGCCUCCCGUUUCGCGAGCGCCUGCGGCAUUCCCGGAACAAACCACCUCUCGUCCGUCGUUGAGGUUGAUGAUGCCUGCACCACC